RNAcentral lists this ribosomal RNA (2444 nucleotides) under Rhodococcus (subgen. Prescottella) equi. Its description in RNAcentral is "Rhodococcus hoagii partial 23S ribosomal RNA". It matches the Rfam family "Bacterial large subunit ribosomal RNA", at positions 631 to 2925 of the family's 2925-position model. The record is from RNAcentral. Lineage: Bacteria; Bacillati; Actinomycetota; Actinomycetes; Mycobacteriales; Nocardiaceae.
CGGCAUGUCGCGAGGUUAACCCGUGUGGGGUAGCCGUAGCGAAAGCGAGUCCGAAUAGGGCGUUUGUAGUGGCAUGUUCUAGACCCGAAGCGGAGUGAUCUACCCAUGGCCAGGGUGAAGCGACGGUAAGACGUCGUGGAGGCCCGAACCCACUUAGGUUGAAAACUGAGGGGAUGAGCUGUGGGUAGGGGUGAAAGGCCAAUCAAACUCCGUGAUAGCUGGUUCUCCCCGAAAUGCAUUUAGGUGCAGCGUCGCGUGUUUCACUCUGGAGGUAGAGCUACUGGAUGGCCGAUGGGCCCCACAAGGUUACUGACGUCAGCCAAACUCCGAAUGCCAGAGUGUGAGAGCGCGGCAGUGAGACUGCGGGGGAUAAGCUUCGUAGUCGAGAGGGAAACAGCCCAGAUCGCCGGCUAAGGCCCCUAAGCGUGUACUAAGUGGAAAAGGAUGUGGGGUCGCGAAGACAACCAGGAGGUUGGCUUAGAAGCAGCCACCCUUGAAAGAGUGCGUAAUAGCUCACUGGUCAAGUGAUCCUGCGCCGACAAUGUAGCGGGGCUCAAGUACACCGCCGAAGCCGCGGCAUUCACAUAACACCCAUGCGGGUCUACGGGCCUGUGUGCAGUGGUGUGGAUGGGUAGGGGAGCGUCGUGCAGCCAUGGAAGCGCCGGAGUGAUCCAGGUGUGGAGGCUGCACGAGUGAGAAUGCAGGCAUGAGUAGCGAAAGACGAGUGAGAAACUCGUCCGCCGAAUGACCAAGGGUUCCUGGGCCAGGUUAAUCCGCCCAGGGUGAGUCGGGACCUAAGGCGAGGCCGACAGGCGUAGUCGAUGGACAACGGGUUGAUAUUCCCGUACCCGUGUGAACGCGCCCCUGGUGAAUCAGUGAUGCUAAGCGCCCUGAAGCCGCCUUCGAACCUUCGGGUUCUCCGGUGUGUGGAUGCGCGUGAACCGAUCUGGUAGUAGCCAAGCGAUGGGGUGACGCAGGAAGGUAGCUGAGCCAGUCAGUGGUAAUACUGGUGUAAGCGUGUAGGGCGUGACCUAGGCAAAUCCGGGUCACACACAGCCUGAGACGUGAUGCGUAGCCGAUUGAGGCGAAUUCAGUGAUCCUAUGCUGCCGAGAAAAGCCUCUAGCGAGCUUUCACACGGCCCGUACCCCAAACCGACACAGGUGGUCAGGUAGAGAAUACUAAGGCGAUCGAGAUAACUGUGGUUAAGGAACUCGGCAAAAUGCCCCCGUAACUUCGGGAGAAGGGGGGCCUCGUCUGGUGACGGAACUUGCUUCCUGAGCUGGGUGGGGCCGCAGAGACCAGAGAGAAGCGACUGUUUACUAAAAACACAGGUCCGUGCGAAGUCGUAAGACGAUGUAUACGGACUGACGCCUGCCCGGUGCUGGAAGGUUAAGAGGACCGGUUAGCCAGUAAUGGCGAAGCUGAGAAUUUAAGCCCCAGUAAACGGCGGUGGUAACUAUAACCAUCCUAAGGUAGCGAAAUUCCUUGUCGGGUAAGUUCCGACCUGCACGAAUGGCGUAACGACUUCUCUGCUGUCUCAACCACAGACUCGGCGAAAUUGCAUUACGAGUAAAGAUGCUCGUUACGCGCGGCAGGACGAAAAGACCCCGGGACCUUCACUAUAGCUUGGUAUUGGUGUUCGGUUCGGUUUGUGUAGGAUAGGUGGGAGACUGUGAAGCGGGCACGCCAGUGUUCGUGGAGUCGUUGUUGAAAUACCACUCUGAUCGUAUUGGACAUCUAACCUCGGACCAUGAUCUGGUUCAGGGACAGUGCCUGGUGGGUAGUUUAACUGGGGCGGUUGCCUCCCAAAAUGUAACGGAGGCGCCCAAAGGUUCCCUCAGCCUGGUUGGCAAUCAGGUGUCGAGUGCAAGUGCACAAGGGAGCUUGACUGUGAGACUGACAGGUCGAGCAGGGACGAAAGUCGGGACUAGUGAUCCGGCACCGGCAAGUGGAAGCGGUGUCGCUCAACGGAUAAAAGGUACCCCGGGGAUAACAGGCUGAUCUUCCCCAAGAGUCCAUAUCGACGGGAUGGUUUGGCACCUCGAUGUCGGCUCGUCGCAUCCUGGGGCUGGAGUAGGUCCCAAGGGUUGGGCUGUUCGCCCAUUAAAGCGGCACGCGAGCUGGGUUUAGAACGUCGUGAGACAGUUCGGUCUCUAUCCGCCGCGCGCGUUAGAAACUUGAGGAAGGCUGUCCCUAGUACGAGAGGACCGGGACGGACGAACCUCUGGUGUGCCAGUUGUUCCGCCAGGAGCACUGCUGGUUAGCUACGUUCGGAAGGGAUAACCGCUGAAAGCAUCUAAGCGGGAAGCCUGUUCCAAGAUGAGGUUUCUCACCCCCUCGAGGGGGUAAGGCCCCCGGCAGACCACCGGGUUGAUAGGCCAGAACUGGAAGCACAGUAAUGUGUGGAGGUGACUGGUACUAAUAGGCCGAGGACUUACCACAA